RNAcentral lists this ribosomal RNA (490 nucleotides) under uncultured bacterium. RNAcentral's name for it is "partial 16S ribosomal RNA". It matches the Rfam family "Bacterial small subunit ribosomal RNA", at positions 30 to 507 of the family's 1533-position model. The record is from RNAcentral.
AUUGAACGCUGGCGGCAGGCCUAACACAUGCAAGUCGAACGGUAACAGGAAGAAGCUUGCUUCUUUGCUGACGAGUGGCGGACGGGUGAGUAAUGUCUGGGAAACUGCCUGAUGGAGGGGGAUAACUACUGGAAACGGUAGCUAAUACCGCAUAACGUCGCAAGACCAAAGAGGGGGACCUUCGGGCCUCUUGCCAUCGGAUGUGCCCAGAUGGGAGUAGCUAGUAGGUGGGGUAACGGCUCACCUAGGCGACGAUCCCUAGCUGGUCUGAGAGGAUGACCAGCCACACUGGAACUUAGACACGGUCCAGACUCCUACGGGAGGCAGCAGUGGGGAAUAGUGCACAAUGGGCGCAAGCCUGAUGCAGCCAUGCCGCGUGUAUGAAGAAGGCCUUCGGGUUGUAAAGUACUUUCAGCGGUGAGGAAGGGAGUAAAGUUAAUACCUUGGCUCAUUGACGUUACCCGCAGAAGAAGCACCGGCUAACUCCGUG